AGAGUUUGAUCCUGGCUCAGGAUGAACGCUGGCGGCGUGCUUAACACAUGCAAGUCGAACGAAGCAGGAGGGUGCUUGCACCUUCCUGCUGAGUGGCGGACGGGUGAGUAACACGUGGAUAAUCUGCCCUGCACAGGGGGACAACAGCUAGAAAUGGCUGCUAAUACCGCAUAAGCCUACAGCCUCGCAUGAGGGAGUAGGAAAAGAAAUUCGGUGCAGGAUGAGUCCGCGUCUGAUUAGCUAGUUGGAGGGGUAAAAGCCCACCAAGGCAACGAUCAGUAGCCGGCCUGAGAGGGCGACCGGCCACAUUGGGACUGAGACACGGCCCAAACUCCUACGGGAGGCAGCAGUGGGGAAUAUUGCACAAUGGGGGAAACCCUGAUGCAGCGACGCCGCGUGAGCGAGGAAGUAUUUCGGUAUGUAAAGCUCUAUCAGCAGGGACGAAAAAAGACGGUACCUGACUAAGAAGCCCCGGCUAACUACGUGCCAGCAGCCGCGGUAAUACGUAGGGGGCAAGCGUUAUCCGGAUUUACUGGGUGUAAAGGGAGCGUAGACGGCAAGGCAAGCCAGAAGUGAAAGGGCAGGGCUCAACCCUGUACAUGCUUUUGGAACUGUGGUGCUAGAGUGCAGGAGAGGUAAGUGGAAUUCCUAGUGUAGCGGUGAAAUGCGUAGAUAUUAGGAGGAACACCAGUGGCGAAGGCGGCUUACUGGACUGUAACUGACGUUGAGGCUCGAAAGCGUGGGGAGCAAACAGGAUUAGAUACCCUGGUAGUCCACGCUGUAAACGAUGAAUACUAGGUGUUGGGGGC
This 809-nucleotide ribosomal RNA is filed under the name uncultured bacterium. Its description in RNAcentral is "bacterial SSU rRNA". It matches the Rfam family "Bacterial small subunit ribosomal RNA", at positions 8 to 830 of the family's 1533-position model. The record is from RNAcentral.